Molecule: long non-coding RNA, 431 nt
Organism: Belonocnema kinseyi
Lineage: Eukaryota; Metazoa; Arthropoda; Insecta; Hymenoptera; Cynipidae
Exons: 3
Source: RefSeq, a predicted model, not a curated record
UCGAUACUUCCUACCUUUGUACAUACCUAUCUACACUUCUAAUUCUGUACCUGAUACGAUCUCAUCACCCCAAUCAGCACGCGUCGAAAAUCUGUCGCGAGUCUUAUUCUAAUGAAAUUUCAAAUACAGAACACAUCGACAAAAAAUUUAGCAGAUAUAUAACAGUAUUUGUGAAAAUUAUAAGAACUACGUCCGUACUGAUUGCAAAUUUUGAAGGUGGAGCGCAAGCAGCAGAAAGCCAGAGAGUAUUAACAUAGACACUAUUAUCGAUCGUUCGAUCACAUCCAAUGGGAACAUUACUCAGGCUCUAGAGAAAGGAAAAAAAGAUUAAUAAAAAUUGAUACAAGAUGUACCUUUUUUUUAACAUCAUGAGAUGGACUACAGAAAAACCUAAGUCAGUGUGAUAACUAUCUUCUAAUUAUUUUCAGAAG